CAAAAACAUGUCCUUUUGUUUUAUAUAUAAGGUCUAACCUGCCCGAUGAUUUUAUUUAAUGGCCGCGGUAUAUUAACUGUGCUAAGGUAGCAUAAUCAUUUGUCUUUUAAUUAAAGGCUAGAAUGAAUGGUUGGACGAGGUAUUUACUUUCUUUAUUUUAAUUUAUGAAUUUAAUUUUUUAGUUAAAAAGCUUAAAUUUAUUUGGGGGACGAGAAGACCCUAUAGAUCUUUAUAUUUAGAGUUAUUAUAUAUUUUGGUGUAUAAAUUGUUUUAAUAAUUUUAUUUAUUUGAUUGGGGUGAUUAUAGAAUUUUAGUUAACUUCUAUUAUUAUAUAUCAUUAAUUAAUGUUAUUUUGAUCCAAUUUUAUUGAUUAAAAGAUUAAGUUACCUUAGGGAUAACAGCGUAAUUCUUUUGGAGAGCUCAUAUCGAUAAAGGAGUUUGCGACCUCGAUGUUGGAUUAAAAUUAGUUUUAGGUGUAGAAGCUUAAAUACUAGGUCUGUUCGACCUUUAAUUUUUUACAUGAUCUGAGUUC
Molecule: ribosomal RNA, 532 nt
Filed under: Atopozelus sp. 00005014
Lineage: Eukaryota; Metazoa; Arthropoda; Insecta; Hemiptera; Reduviidae
Description: partial 16S ribosomal RNA
Rfam family: Bacterial large subunit ribosomal RNA
Source: RNAcentral